GAAUUCGAUUAACGCGAAGAACCUUACCCAGGCUUGAACAGCGAGUGACCACUCCCGAAAGGGAGCUUCCGCAAGGACACUCGUAGAGGUGCUGCAUGGCUGUCGUCAGCUCGUGUCGUGAGAUGUUGGGUUAAGUCCCGCAACGAGCGCAACCCUUGUCUGCUGUUGCCAUCAGGUUAUGCUGGGCACUCUGCAGAGACUGCCGGUGAUAAACCGGAGGAAGGUGGGGAUGACGUCAAGUCAGCAUGGCCUUUAUGUCUGGGGCUACACACGUGCUACAAUGGCCGGUACAAACCGUCGCGAUACCGCAAGGUGGAGCUAAUCGGAGAAAGCCGGUCUCAGUUCGGAUAGCAGGCUGCAACUCGCCUGCUUGAAGUUGGAAUCGCUAGUAAUCGCGGAUCAGCACGCCGCGGUGAAUACGUUCCCGGGCCUUGUCACACCGAAUCACUA
RNAcentral lists this ribosomal RNA (450 nucleotides) under uncultured soil bacterium. RNAcentral's name for it is "bacterial SSU rRNA". It matches the Rfam family "Bacterial small subunit ribosomal RNA", at positions 947 to 1384 of the family's 1533-position model. The record is from RNAcentral.